CCUACGGGUGGCUGCAGUGGGGAAUAUUGCACAAUGGGCGCAAGCCUGAUGCAGCCAUGCCGCGUGUGUGAAGAAGGCCUUCGGGUUGUAAAGCACUUUCAGCGGGGAGGAAGGCGUUAAGGUUAAUAACCUUGUCGAUUGACGUUACCCGCAGAAGAAGCACCGGCUAACUCCGUGCCAGCAGCCGCGGUAAUACGGAGGGUGCAAGCGUUAAUCGGAAUUACUGGGCGUAAAGCGCACGCAGGCGGUCUGUCAAGUCGGAUGUGAAAUCCCCGGGCUCAACCUGGGAACUGCAUUCGAAACUGGCAGGCUAGAGUCUUGUAGAGGGGGGUAGAAUUCCAGGUGUAGCGGUGGAAUGCGUAGAGAUCUGGAGGAAUACCGGUGGCGAAGGCGGCCCCCUGGACAAAGACUGACGCUCAGGUGCGAAAGCGUGGGGAGCAAACAGGAUUAGAUACCCGAGUAGUC
Molecule: ribosomal RNA, 465 nt
Filed under: uncultured Klebsiella sp.
Lineage: Bacteria; Pseudomonadati; Pseudomonadota; Gammaproteobacteria; Enterobacterales; Enterobacteriaceae
Description: bacterial SSU rRNA
Rfam family: Bacterial small subunit ribosomal RNA
Source: RNAcentral